CAGAAUCUCCGGUCUGUCGCUGGCACCCUGGGCGGUGCGAGAGGAAAGUCCGGGCAGCACAGGGCACUCCACUUCCGAAAAUAGAAGCUGUUGGCAACAGCAGGAGCCGGUAGAAGAAAACAACCGCCUGGCUACCUUCUCUGAAACACGAAAGGGCAAGCGGGCAAGGGUGAGAAGGUGGUGUAAGAGACCACCAGCCGAUGGGCGAUCAUCGGGCUGUACCGUCUGGAGGCUGCAAGUUCGCGUAUACCGCUGGUUGAGGGUUGCCCGCCCGAGUUAGCCCCUGUUCAGGAAGCUGAUACACGGCGGAGGGUAGAACGCUUAAGCCGCAGGGCAACCUGCGGAUUAGAUAAAUGACAGACACCACGGAUGCCAAAAGCAUCCGGUGGAACAGAACCCGGCUUACAGGGGGUUCUGCUUU
Molecule: RNase P RNA, 421 nt
Filed under: Prevotella sp.
Lineage: Bacteria; Pseudomonadati; Bacteroidota; Bacteroidia; Bacteroidales; Prevotellaceae
Description: RNase P RNA component class A
Rfam family: Bacterial RNase P class A
About the family: Ribonuclease P (RNase P) is a ubiquitous endoribonuclease, found in archaea, bacteria and eukarya as well as chloroplasts and mitochondria. Its best characterised activity is the generation of mature 5'-ends of tRNAs by cleaving the 5'-leader elements of precursor-tRNAs.
Source: RNAcentral